Molecule: transfer RNA, 75 nt
Filed under: Stutzerimonas stutzeri
Lineage: Bacteria; Pseudomonadati; Pseudomonadota; Gammaproteobacteria; Pseudomonadales; Pseudomonadaceae
Also listed under: 1 other name
Description: Pseudomonas stutzeri tRNA-Ala
Rfam family: tRNA
About the family: Transfer RNA (tRNA) molecules are approximately 80 nucleotides in length.
Source: RNAcentral
GGGCCAUAGCUCAGCUGGGAGAGCGCCUGCUUUGCACGCAGGAGGUCAGGAGUUCGAUCCUCCUUGGCUCCACCA